RNAcentral lists this ribosomal RNA (459 nucleotides) under uncultured Oxalobacter sp. Its description in RNAcentral is "partial 16S ribosomal RNA". It matches the Rfam family "Bacterial small subunit ribosomal RNA", at positions 341 to 792 of the family's 1533-position model. The record is from RNAcentral. Lineage: Bacteria; Pseudomonadati; Pseudomonadota; Betaproteobacteria; Burkholderiales; Oxalobacteraceae.
ACGGGAGGCAGCAGUGGGGAAUUUUGGACAAUGGGGGCAACCCUGAUCCAGCAAUGCCGCGUGAGUGAAGAAGGCCUUCGGGUUGUAAAGCUCUUUUGUCAGGGAAGAAAGGUGAGAUGCUAAUACCAUUUCAUGAUGACGGUACCUGAAGAAUAAGCACCGGCUAACUACGUGCCAGCAGCCGCGGUAAUACGUAGGGUGCGAGCGUUAAUCGGAAUUACUGGGCGUAAAGGGUGCGCAGGCGGUUAUGUAAGACAGAUGUGAAAUGCUCGGGCUUAACCUGAGAAUUGCAUUUGUGACUGCAUGGCUAGAGUGUGUCAGAGGGGGGUAGAAUUCCACAUGUAGCAGUGAAAUGCGUAGAUAUGUGGAGGAAUACCGAUGGCGAAGGCAGCCCCCUGGGAUAACACUGACGCUCAGGCACGAAAGCGUGGGGAGCAAACAGGAUUAGAUACCCUGGUA